AUAAGCGGAGGAAAAGAAACUAACAAGGAUUCCCCUAGUAACUGCGAGUGAAGCGGGAAAAGCUCAAAUUUAAAAUCUGGCGGUCUCUGGCCGUCCGAGUUGUAAUCUAGAGAAGUAAUGCCCGUGCUGGACCGUGUAUAAGUCUCCUGGGAUGGGGCGUCAUAGAGGGUGAGAAUCCCGUCUUUGACACGGACUACCAGUGCAUUGUGGUAUGCUCUCAAAGAGUCGAGUUGUUUGGGAAUGCAGCUCAAAAUGGGUGGUAAAUUCCAUCUAAAGCUAAAUAUUGGCGAGAGACCGAUAGCGAACAAGUACCGUGAGGGAAAGAUGAAAAGAACUUUGGAAAGAGAGUUAAACAGUACGUGAAAUUGCUGAAAGGGAAACGCUUGAAGUCAGUCGCGUUGGCCGGGGAUCAGCCUUGCUUUUGCAUGGUGUACUUUCUGGUUGACGGGUCAGCAUCAAUUUUGACCGCUGGAAAAAGACCUGGGGAAUGUGGCAGCUUCGGCUGUGUUAUAGCCCCUAGUCGCAUACAGUGGUUGGGAUUGAGGAACUCAGCACGCCGCAAGGCCGGGUUUCGACCACGUUCGUGCUUAGGAUGCUGGCAUAAUGGCUUUAA
Molecule: ribosomal RNA, 613 nt
Filed under: Agaricus augustus
Lineage: Eukaryota; Fungi; Basidiomycota; Agaricomycetes; Agaricales; Agaricaceae
Description: eukaryotic LSU rRNA
Rfam family: Eukaryotic large subunit ribosomal RNA
Source: RNAcentral